RNAcentral lists this transfer RNA (85 nucleotides) under Magnetococcus marinus MC-1. RNAcentral's name for it is "tRNA-Leu (GAG) (tRNA-Leu-GAG-1-1)". It matches the Rfam family "tRNA". Rfam says of the family: Transfer RNA (tRNA) molecules are approximately 80 nucleotides in length. Their secondary structure includes four short double-helical elements and three loops (D, anti-codon, and T loops). RNAcentral also lists the same sequence under 2 other names. The record is from RNAcentral. Lineage: Bacteria; Pseudomonadati; Pseudomonadota; Magnetococcia; Magnetococcales; Magnetococcaceae.
GCGGAUGUGGUGGAAUUGGUAGACACGCUGUCUUGAGGGGGCAGUGGCGCGAGCCGUGCCGGUUCGACUCCGGCCAUCCGCACCA